GACGAACGCUGGCGGCGUGCUUAACACAUGCAAGUCGAACGGAAAGGCCCUGCUUUUGUUGGGUGCUCGAGUGGCGAACGGGUGAGUAACACGUGAGUAACCUGCCCUUGACUUUGGGAUAACUUCAGGAAACUGGGGCUAAUACCCGAUAGGAGCUCCUGCUGCAUGGUGGGGGUUGGAAAGUUUCGGCGGUUGGGGAUGUACUCGCGGCUUAUCAGCUUGUUGGUGGGGUAGUGGCUUACCAAGGCUUUGACGGGUAGGCGGCCUGAGAGGGUGACCGGCGACAUUGGGACUGAGGUACGGCCCAGACUCCUAAGGGAGGCAGCAGUGGGGAAUAUUGCACAAUGGGCGGAAGCCUGAUGCAGAAACGCCGCGUGCGGGAUGACGGCCUUCGGGUGGUAAACCGAUUUCGCCUGUGACGAAGCGUGAGUGACGGUAAUGGGUAAAGAAGCACCGGCUAACUACGUG
Molecule: ribosomal RNA, 468 nt
Filed under: uncultured bacterium
Lineage: Bacteria
Description: partial 16S ribosomal RNA
Rfam family: Bacterial small subunit ribosomal RNA
Source: RNAcentral